GAUGAACGCUAGCUACAGGCUUAACACAUGCAAGUCGAGGGGAAACGAUAUUGGAAGCUUGCUUCCGAUAGGCGUCGACCGGCGCACGGGUGAGUAACGCGUAUCCAACCUGCCCACCACUUGGGGAUAACCUUGCGAAAGUAAGACUAAUACCCAAUGAUAUCUCUAGAAGACAUCUGAAGGAGAUUAAAGAUUUAUCGGUGAUGGAUGGGGAUGCGUCUGAUUAGCUUGUUGGCGGGGUAACGGCCCACCAAGACGACGAUCAGUAGGGGUCCUGAGAGGAAGGUCCCCCACAUUGGAACUGAGAUACGGUCCAAACUCCUACGGGAGGCAGCAGUGAGGAAUAUUGGUCAAUGGGCGAGAGCCUGAACCAGCCAAGUAGCGUGCAGGAUGACGGCCCUAUGGGUUGUAAACUGCUUUUAUAAGGGAAUAAAGUGAGCCUCGUGAGGCUUUUUGCAUGUACCUUAUGAAUAAGGACCGGCUAAUUCCGUGCCAGCAGCCGCAGUAA
Molecule: ribosomal RNA, 508 nt
Filed under: uncultured bacterium
Lineage: Bacteria
Description: partial 16S ribosomal RNA
Rfam family: Bacterial small subunit ribosomal RNA
Source: RNAcentral